Molecule: regulatory RNA element, 64 nt
Organism: Thauera sp. 27
Lineage: Bacteria; Pseudomonadati; Pseudomonadota; Betaproteobacteria; Rhodocyclales; Zoogloeaceae
Rfam family: DUF3085 RNA
Source: Rfam
CGGUAGCUGGAUAAAACCGGGCCAUUGGCCAAACCCAGCCCAUCAACUGCAGCACCUGUCCCGC